UACGAAGGGGGCUAGCGUUGCUCGGAAUCACUGGGCGUAAAGCGCACGUAGGCGGGUUGUUAAGUCGGGGGUGAAAUCCUGGAGCUCAACUCCAGAACUGCCUUCGAUACUGGCGACCUUGAGUCCGGGAGAGGUGAGUGGAACUCCGAGUGUAGAGGUGAAAUUCGUAGAUAUUCGCAAGAACACCAGUGGCGAAGGCGGCUCACUGGCCCGGUACUGACGCUGAGGUGCGAAAGCGUAGGGAGCAAACAGG
Molecule: ribosomal RNA, 253 nt
Filed under: uncultured bacterium
Lineage: Bacteria
Description: partial 16S ribosomal RNA
Rfam family: Bacterial small subunit ribosomal RNA
Source: RNAcentral